UGCGUAGGCAGCGAGCGUUGUUCGGAGUUACUGGGCGUAAAGCGUGCGUAGGCGGUGUCUUAAGUCUGUUGUGAAAUCUCCCGGCUUAACCGGGAGGGUGCGGCGAAUACUGAGAUGCUGGAGUGCCGGAGAGGUAAGCGGAAUUCCUGGUGUAGCGGUGAAAUGCGCAGAUAUCGGGAGGAACACCUGUGGCGAAAGCGGCGCACUGGACCGCAUCUGACGCUGAGGCGCGAAAGCUAGGGGAGCAAACAGG
This 253-nucleotide ribosomal RNA is filed under the name uncultured bacterium. Its description in RNAcentral is "partial 16S ribosomal RNA". It matches the Rfam family "Bacterial small subunit ribosomal RNA", at positions 524 to 776 of the family's 1533-position model. The record is from RNAcentral.